This is a non-coding RNA of Pantherophis guttatus, 280 nucleotides long. NCBI's taxonomy places the organism in Eukaryota, Metazoa, Chordata, Lepidosauria, Squamata, Colubridae. The record is from RefSeq and is a predicted model, not a curated record.
CUAAGCUGGGCUUCCUCCAUUCUACCCAGAUAGUCCUUGACUGAUAACCACGAUUGGGACCAGAAUUUCCACCGCUAUACAAGGAACAAUAGAGGAAGGCCAAAGAAAACCUGGUGCCAAACAUUUGAGGAAGACCUGAAAAAGCAUCAAUCUUAAAUGGAAGAGUACAGAGACUGCAACUGUGGAUCAAGAACUAUGCAAUACUCUUGUAGCCCAAUGUGCUUAGCACAUGAUGUGAAUAACGUAAGAAAUAUAACAAAGAAUUAUUUCAUGAAUUGUA